Molecule: ribosomal RNA, 505 nt
Filed under: uncultured bacterium
Lineage: Bacteria
Description: partial 16S ribosomal RNA
Rfam family: Bacterial small subunit ribosomal RNA
Source: RNAcentral
GACGAACGCUGGCGGCGUGCCUAAUACAUGCAAGUAGAACGCACAGUUUAUACCGUAGCUUGCUACACCAUAGACUGUGAGUUGCGAACGGGUGAGUAACGCGUAGAUAACCUGCCUGGUAGCGGGGGAUAACUAUUGGAAACGAUAGCUAAUACCGCAUAAUAUUAAUUAUUGCAUGAUAAUUAAUUGAAAGGUGCAGUUGCACCACUACCAGAUGGACCUGCGUUGUAUUAGCUAGUAGGUGAGGUAACGGCUCACCUAGGCGACGAUACAUAGCCGACCUGAGAGGGUGAUCGGCCACACUGGGACUGAGACACGGCCCAGACUCCUACGGGAGGCAGCAGUAGGGAAUCUUCGGCAAUGGACGAAAGUCUGACCGAGCAACGCCGCGUGAGUGAAGAAGGUUUUCGGAUCGUAAAGCUCUGUUGUAAGAGAAGAACGGGGGUGAGAGUGGAAAGUUCACACUGUGACGGUAUCUUACCAGAAAGAGACGGCUAACUACGUG